Empidonax traillii (willow flycatcher) is the source of this 267-nucleotide long non-coding RNA. RefSeq lists it as uncharacterized. The transcript is spliced from 3 exons. NCBI's taxonomy places the organism in Eukaryota, Metazoa, Chordata, Aves, Passeriformes, Tyrannidae. The record is from RefSeq and is a predicted model, not a curated record.
GAUGAGAGGUGGGAGCUGCCCUGGCCCUGCUCAACUCUGGUGUCUGGGCUGUCCCAGUCCCAGAAACAAAGGAGAGUCUGCACAAGGAGGUUGUCAGGUUUAAUCGCAACUUAAACCGGGCUUUGUGGCUGGGAGAGCUGCACGAGUUGGACGUCAUCUGGAGGAAGGGCUGUGCCUGAAUUUCCAAAGCAGGGUCCCACUGUACUGAAGCACUGUGUGCCUGCUUGGCAGAGAGGAGCGUCCCCAUGGGCUGUGACGGGCACAGAG